RNAcentral lists this ribosomal RNA (468 nucleotides) under uncultured bacterium. RNAcentral's name for it is "partial 16S ribosomal RNA". It matches the Rfam family "Bacterial small subunit ribosomal RNA", at positions 28 to 507 of the family's 1533-position model. The record is from RNAcentral.
GAUGAACGCUGGCGGCGUGCUUAACACAUGCAAGUCGAGCGAAAAGGCCAGGCUUUUGCGGGUCGCUCGUUUGCCGAACGGGUGCGUAUAACAUGGGUAUCAUGCCCCUAUUUUAGGGGUAUAUUCUGGAAACUGGGGAUAUAAUCGGGUAGAAGUUCCUGCAGCAUGUGGUGGGUUGGAAAAUUUCGGCGUUGGUGGAUGGUAUAGCGGCUUAUCAGCUGGUUGGUGAGGUAGUGGCUUACAAAGGCUUUGACGGGUAGCCGGCCUGAGAGGGUGACCGGCCACAUUGGGACUGAGAUACGGCCCAGACUCCUACGGGAGGCAGCGGUGGGGAAUAUUGCACAAUGGGCCGAAGCCAGAUGCAGCAACGCCGCGUGCGGGAUGACGGCCUUCGAGUUGUAAACCACUGUCGCCUGUGACGAAGCGUGAGUGACGGUAAUGGGUAAAGAAGCACCGGCUAACUACGUG